RNAcentral lists this ribosomal RNA (528 nucleotides) under uncultured archaeon. Its description in RNAcentral is "bacterial SSU rRNA". It matches the Rfam family "Archaeal small subunit ribosomal RNA", at positions 472 to 999 of the family's 1478-position model. The record is from RNAcentral.
AAUACCGGCGGCUCGAGUGGUGGCCGAUAUUAUUGAGUCUAAAGGGUCCGUAGCCGGCUUUGCAAGUCUCUCGGGAAAUCCAGCGGCUUAACCGUUGGGCGUCUGGGGGCUACUACAUUGCUUGGGACUGGGAGAGGCGAGAGGUACUCAGGGGGUAGGAGUGAAAUCCUGUAAUCCUUUGGGGACCACCGGUGGCGAAGGCGUCUCGCCAGAACAGGUCCGACGGUGAGGGACGAAAGCUAGGGGCACGAACCGGAUUAGAUACCCGGGUAGUCCUAGCCGUAAACGAUGCUCGCUAGGUGUCACAACAGUCGUGAACUGUUGUGGUGCCGUAGGGAAGCCGUGAAGCGAGCCACUUGGGAAGUACGACCGCAAGGUUGAAACUUAAAGGAAUUGGCGGGGGAGCACCACAACGGGUGGAGCCUGCGGUUUAAUUGGACUCAACGCCGGGAAGCUUACCGGGAUCGACAGUUGUAUGAAGGCCAGGCUGAAGACCUUGCCGGACUAUCUGAGAAGUGGUGCAUGGCC